Molecule: ribosomal RNA, 420 nt
Filed under: uncultured cyanobacterium
Lineage: Bacteria; Bacillati; Cyanobacteriota
Description: bacterial SSU rRNA
Rfam family: Bacterial small subunit ribosomal RNA
Source: RNAcentral
CGAAAGCCUGACGGAGCAAUACCGCGUGAGGGAGGAAGGCCUUUGGGUUGUAAACCUCUUUUCUCAGGGAAGAAGUUCUGACGGUACCUGAGGAAUUAGCAUCGGCUAACUCCGUGCCAGCAGCCGCGGUAAUACGGAGGAUGCAAGCGUUAUCCGGAAUUAUUGGGCGUAAAGCGUCCGCAGGUGGUCUUUCAAGUCUGCUGUUAAAGACCAGAGCUUAACUCUGGGCAGGCGGUGGAAACUGGAAGACUAGAGUUCGGUAGGGGUAGCGGGAAUUCCCAGUGUAGCGGUGAAAUGCGUAGAUAUUGGGAAGAACAUCGGUGGCGAAGGCGCGCUACUGGACCGAAACUGACACUCAGGGACGAAAGCUAGGGUAGCGAAAGGGAUUAGAUACCCCUGUAGUCCUAGCUGUAAACGAUG